RNAcentral lists this ribosomal RNA (408 nucleotides) under uncultured bacterium. Its description in RNAcentral is "bacterial SSU rRNA". It matches the Rfam family "Bacterial small subunit ribosomal RNA", at positions 355 to 775 of the family's 1533-position model. The record is from RNAcentral.
UGGGGAAUAUUGCGCAAUGGGCGAAAGCCUGACGCAGCGACGCCGCGUGAGGGAUGAAGGCCUUCGGGUUGUAAACCUCUUUCAGCGCCGAAGAAGCGAAAGUGACGGUAGGCGCAGAAGAAGCACCGGCUAACUACGUGCCAGCAGCCGCGGUAAUACGUAGGGUGCAAGCGUUGUCCGGAAUUAUUGGGCGUAAAGAGCUCGUAGGCGGUUUGUCGCGUCUGCUGUGAAAACUCGGGGCUUAACCCCGGGCCUGCAGUGGGUACGGGCAGACUAGAGUGCGGUAGGGGAGACUGGAAUUCCUGGUGUAGCGGUGAAAUGCGCAGAUAUCAGGAGGAACACCGGUGGCGAAGGCGGGUCUCUGGGCCGUAACUGACGCUGAGGAGCGAAAGCGUGGGGAGCGAACAG